GAUGAACGCUAGCGACAGGCUUAACACAUGCAAGUCGAGGGGCAGCAGGGGAGUAGCAAUACUCCCGCUGGCGACCGGCGCACGGGUGAGUAACACGUAUGCAACCUGCCCUUGUCAGGGGGAUAAGCGGAAGAAAUUCCGUCUAAUACCGCAUAAUGUUGCGGGGAGACAUCUCCCUGCAGCCAAAGAUUUAUCGGACAAGGAUGGGCAUGCGGCGCAUUAGCUUGUUGGCGGGGUAACGGCCCACCAAGGCGACGAUGCGUAGGGGUUCUGAGAGGAAGGUCCCCCACACUGGUACUGAGACACGGACCAGACUCCUACGGGAGGCAGCAGUGAGGAAUAUUGGUCAAUGGCCGGGAGGCUGAACCAGCCAAGUCGCGUGAGGGAAGACGGUCCUAUGGAUUGUAAACCUCUUUUGUCAGGGAGCAAAAACUGCCACGUGUGGCAGGAUGAGAGUACCUGAAGAAAAAGCAUCGGCUAACUCCGUGCCAGCAGCCGCGGUAAUACGGAGGAUGCGAGCGUUAUCCGGAUUUAUUGGGUUUAAAGGGUGCGUAGGCGGACAGUUAAGUCAGCGGUAAAAUUGAGAGGCUCAACCUCUUCCCGCCGUUGAAACUGAUUGUCUUGAGUGGGCGAGAAGUAUGCGGAAUGCGUGGUGUAGCGGUGAAAUGCAUAGAUAUCACGCAGAACUCCGAUUGCGAAGGCAGCAUACCGGCGCCCAACUGACGCUGAAGCACGAAAGCGUGGGUAUCGAACAGGAUUAGAUACCCUGGUAGUCCACGCAGUAAACGAUGAAUACUAAUUGUUCGGGUCAAAUGAGAUCUGAGUGAUACAGCGAAAGCGUUAAGUAUUCCACCUGGGGAGUACGCCGGCAACGGUGAAACUCAAAGGAAUUGACGGGGGCCCGCACAAGCGGAGGAACAUGUGGUUUAAUUCGAUGAUACGCGAGGAACCUUACCCGGGCUCAAACGACACAGGAAUGAUCUGAGAAAUCAGGCAGUCCUCCGGGACCUGUGUCGAGGUGCUGCAUGGUUGUCGUCAGCUCGUGCCGUGAGGUGUCGGCUUAAGUGCCAUAACGAGCGCAACCCCCAUCGACAGUUGCCAGCAGGUCAAGCUGGGCACUCUGUCGAGACUGCCGGCGCAAGCUGUGAGGAAGGCGGGGAUGACGUCAAAUCAGCACGGCCCUUACGUCCGGGGCGACACACGUGUUACAAUGGCAGGUACAGCGGGAAGCCACCUGGCGACAGGGAGCGGAACCCGAAAGCCUGUCUCAGUUCGGAUUGGAGUCUGCAACUCGACUCCAUGAAGCUGGAUUCGCUAGUAAUCGCGCAUCAGCCACGGCGCGGUGAAUACGUUCCCGGGCCU
Molecule: ribosomal RNA, 1362 nt
Filed under: uncultured bacterium
Lineage: Bacteria
Description: 16S ribosomal RNA
Rfam family: Bacterial small subunit ribosomal RNA
Source: RNAcentral